UGGUGGAGCCGGUGACCCAGACUUGUAGUAGGUAAGCGAUGGGGUGACGCAGGAAGGUAGUCCAGCCCGGGCGGUGGUUGUCCCGGGGUAAGGGUGUAGCCCGUCAUCUAGGCAAAUCCGGAUGACAUGUAAGGGUGAGACCUGAUGCCGAGCCGAUUGUGGUGAAGUGGAUGAUCCUAUGCUGUCGAGAAAAGCCUCUAGCGAGUUUCAUGGCGGCCCGUACCCUAAACCGAC
This 234-nucleotide non-coding RNA is filed under the name Streptomyces sp. WM6378. RNAcentral's name for it is "partial 23S ribosomal RNA". It matches the Rfam family "Bacterial large subunit ribosomal RNA", at positions 1407 to 1658 of the family's 2925-position model. The record is from RNAcentral. Lineage: Bacteria; Bacillati; Actinomycetota; Actinomycetes; Kitasatosporales; Streptomycetaceae.